ACCCCAAAACAAAAUUUAAAAGGAGCAUUACCUGGCUGGGUCUAAGCUCCAUAUAACUUGCUUGCAGGUGAUUUUGACUUGGACGCUGAAGAAAUGCUAUCCUUUGCUGCUCUGAGCCAUACCCCAGGCACUGGCCCAGAGCUGCCCCAAAGAUCCACAACCAUCCUGUGCUCCAAGCUGACCACCUCACUGCAGGCAGCAUCCUGAUCCCUGUGUGUCCUGCCUGCUGCGUGCAAACCUCUGUGUUCUUCCUCUUAUACCUGCCCUUCCUGCAGUGCCCGGGCCUGCCUGACUCAGGGAAAGAAGGCUGUCUGCGGCAGGGGCCCCACCUUUAAACUUCACACAUGAGUCAGCCUACACAGGCAGAGAGAGCACAUAACAGUUCCACAGGGUAUAUGUGUGUCACAGCAUGUGUGUCAGAGCACACGUGGAGCUCAGGGGACAACUUGGAGGAGCUGGUCCUCUCCUUCCAACAUGUAAAUUCCUGGAAUUGAACUUGGGUCCUCAGGUUUGCUUGCAGAUGCCUUCACCUGCUGAGCCAUUUUUUCAGUCCUCCUUCAGUAGUUUGAAUGCUCGCCCACCGUCAGCUCUUAGUUACUGAGGGCCCCUUGCAUGCGGUGGAUUGGAGCCUGGGAAGUUUCUGCCUUUGCUUUCUACAUGUGGGUUACAACACGCUUGUGUCAGCCCCUUCCAUCUACUGCAUUCAGGGCUGGAGGGCUUGGUGCUGAUGCGUUAGUGACCAUCAUGAGGUUUGGGAAGUGAUUACUUCUUCAAAUGUUUUCCUUUCUCUUUCUGGAGUCACCAUUAUACACUGGGACACUUGAGCUCCUUCAAACUCACAUCUGCCUCCAAAAGACGGUAUGAACAAAACUGUGUGAGCCCUGAACACUCCACAGUCUAUCAGAUUCUAGACCCAGUGGUGGAGUUGUGCACUUUGGUAGCCAGCUGAAGCAAGAAGUUUAGUCUGUCAUAGUUCUAGAAACUCCAAGCCCCACAUCAAUGUGCUGGCUGCCCCAGCUGUAUCAGGAGGGUCUCUUUGUGGUUUGUAGAUGACACACUUGAUUGAAAGAAAGCAACUUCUCUG
This 1084-nucleotide long non-coding RNA is filed under the name Mus caroli (Ryukyu mouse). RNAcentral's name for it is "lncRNA (MGP_CAROLIEiJ_G0003052.1)". The record is from RNAcentral. Lineage: Eukaryota; Metazoa; Chordata; Mammalia; Rodentia; Muridae.